UAGGAGAAUCCUGUGAGACUAAAAAAGAAAUUCUACCGACCUCCUACCUCCUCAUUUACAUAUGGACACUGUCACAACCUGGCUCAACAGUAUGCGACAAAAGAGGGAGACCACACAUAGUCUGUAAAUAAUUCCAAAAAUGUUUUAAUUAACCAAAGGAAAUAAGCAAUAAAAUUAGGUAUCAGUUGUCAGUGUGUAUGCAGUGUCUCUGUGUGUGUGAGUGUAUGUAUGUGGAAACAAUAUUGAAACAAAUAAUAAUGUCAGUCAGUAAGGCCAGGAGAGAGAGUGAGAGGAUCCUGCAGGUCUAAUUUAUAGCCACCUGAGCCCAGCCUGCUCAGGUGUGUUGCAUCACUGAUGGCAUAGCUCCUCCCACCAACCUCCUGAAACAAAGUAAACAAACAGCCAAAAGAGCAGGACCAACCCCAGGGUCAUCACAACACAGAAAUAAAUGUAGGUGAACAGAAAUAGAGAAAUAAAAAGCAUUUACCUUUUAAUUUUACUUUUAUUUAUACAUUUCAGCAUUUAUACACAUGUCAGGUUUAGUCCUCCAUAGCAUUGACCAAAAAUGGAUCCAAUCUAAUAGAUCAACUCGAUCGACUCCGAGCUGAACUCGUCACAGCUUCCGCCUGCGAUGCAAGAUCUGGUUGUUUACCUGAAGCUCCUGUGGACACACCUGUUCAGCAGAGAGCCGUUAAAUACUGUUCAAAAUGGUUCAGACAUGUGCACAUAAAGAAUCUAUGAGUUGGCCCAACUUGACUCAAAAAUCUGCUCAAAGAUUUUUGAAUCCUUGUUAUGCUGAUUUUAAAAAUAGUUAAGACAAUGAGGGAAAUUUGCUGGGCAAACAAGAUUUUAUAGAUUGCUUAUUGCAAAGCUUUUCUCAGUCAGUUUAAUUUGAAAACUCUAAUGAGAUAACUAAUUAGUUCUCAUUUUUACAGGUAUGCAUGAAAGGGAUGAACCAGAACGGCUGCUCAGCAAGGACUAACAGGCUACAGUUUACAAUACACAUGUG
This 1009-nucleotide long non-coding RNA is filed under the name Sparus aurata (gilthead seabream). Its description in RNAcentral is "lncRNA (ENSSAUG00010022886.1)". The record is from RNAcentral. Lineage: Eukaryota; Metazoa; Chordata; Actinopteri; Spariformes; Sparidae.